AGAGUUUGAUCAUGGCUCAGAACGAACGCUGGCGGCGUGCCUAACACAUGCAAGUCGAGCGCGAAAGGGGUAACCCGAGUAGAGCGGCGCACGGGUGCGUAACACGUGGGUAAUCUGCCCCGGAGGCCCGGAUAACCAUCCGAAAGGAUGGGCUAAUACGGGAUGAGCCCCCGCUGUCUUCGGACGGUGAGGGAAAAGGAUGGCCUCUGUUUACAAGCUAUCACUCCGGGAUGAGCCCGCGGCCCAUCAGCUAGUUGGCGGGGUAACGGCCCACCAAGGCAACGACGGGUAGCUGGUCUGAGAGGACGAUCAGCCACACUGGAACUGAGACACGGUCCAGACUCCUACGGGAGGCAGCAGUGGGGAAUUUUGCGCAAUGGGCGAAAGCCUGACGCAGCAACGCCGCGUGUGUGAUGAAGGUCUUCGGAUUGUAAAGCACUUUCGACCGGGACGAAAAAGCGGGUGCUAAUCAGCCUGCCUUGACGGUACCGGGAGAAGAAGCACCGGCUAACUCUGUGCCAGCAGCCGCGGUAAUACAGAGGGUGCAAGCGUUGUUCGGAAUUAUUGGGCGUAAAGCGCGUGUAGGCGGCCUGGCAAGUCGGGUGUGAAAGCCCUCAGCUCAACUGAGGAAGUGCGCCCGAAACUGCUAUGGCUUGAGUG
Molecule: ribosomal RNA, 660 nt
Filed under: uncultured bacterium
Lineage: Bacteria
Description: bacterial SSU rRNA
Rfam family: Bacterial small subunit ribosomal RNA
Source: RNAcentral